RNAcentral lists this ribosomal RNA (454 nucleotides) under uncultured bacterium. RNAcentral's name for it is "bacterial SSU rRNA". It matches the Rfam family "Bacterial small subunit ribosomal RNA", at positions 340 to 786 of the family's 1533-position model. The record is from RNAcentral.
UACGGGAGGCAGCAGUGGGGAAUAUUGCACAAUGGGCGCAAGCCUGAUGCAGCCAUGCCGCGUGUAUGAAGAAGGCCUUCGGGUUGUAAAGUACUUUCAGUCGUGAGAAAGGUGUUAAGGUUAAUAACCUUAGCAAUUGACGUUAGCGACAGAAGAAGCACCGGCUAACUCCGUGCCAGCAGCCGCGGUAAUACGGAGGGUGCGAGCGUUAAUCGGAAUUACUGGGCGUAAAGGGCACGCAGGCGGUUAAUUAAGUUGGAUGUGAAAUCCCCGGGCUUAACCUGGGAAUGGCAUUCAAGACUGGUUAGCUAGAGUCUUGUAGAGGGGGUAGAAUUCCAUGUGUAGCGGUGAAAUGCGUAGAGAUGUGGAGGAAUACCGGUGGCGAAGGCGGCCCCUGGGACAAAGACUGACGCUCAUGUGCGAAAGCGUGGGGAGCAAACAGGGAUUAGAUACC